RNAcentral lists this ribosomal RNA (279 nucleotides) under uncultured bacterium. RNAcentral describes it as "partial 16S ribosomal RNA". It matches the Rfam family "Bacterial small subunit ribosomal RNA", at positions 506 to 784 of the family's 1533-position model. The record is from RNAcentral.
UGCCAGCCGCCGCGGUAAUACGAAGGGGGCUAGCGUUGUUCGGAAUCACUGGGCGUAAAGCGCACGUAGGCGGACUUUUAAGUCAGGGGUGAAAUCCCGGAGCUCAACUCCGGAACUGCCUUUGAUACUGGAAGUCUUGAGUCCGAGAGAGGUGAGUGGAACUCCGAGUGUAGAGGUGAAAUUCGUAGAUAUUCGGAAGAACACCAGUGGCGAAGGCGGCUCACUGGCUCGGUACUGACGCUGAGGUGCGAAAGCGUGGGGAGCAAACAGGAUUAGAUA